GGAGGAUUCGCCUAGUGGCCUAGGGCGCACGCUUGGAAAGCGUGUUGGGGGCAACCCCUCAAGAGUUCGAAUCUCUUAUCCUCCGCCA
Molecule: transfer RNA, 88 nt
Filed under: Streptosporangiaceae bacterium
Lineage: Bacteria; Bacillati; Actinomycetota; Actinomycetes; Streptosporangiales; Streptosporangiaceae
Also listed under: 2 other names
Description: tRNA-Ser
Rfam family: tRNA
About the family: Transfer RNA (tRNA) molecules are approximately 80 nucleotides in length. Their secondary structure includes four short double-helical elements and three loops (D, anti-codon, and T loops).
Source: RNAcentral